This 479-nucleotide long non-coding RNA is filed under the name Helianthus annuus (common sunflower). Lineage: Eukaryota; Viridiplantae; Streptophyta; Magnoliopsida; Asterales; Asteraceae. The record is from RNAcentral.
AUACACCCCAGUUCUAAGCAUAAAAUUUCCAUAUCAAGAAGGUUUGAAGAGUUUGCAAACUUGGAGAACCAUUAGGGAUUAUUUUGGAGCUUUCUUAUCAUCCUAAUCUUCAUCUAAAGCUUAUUAAAUCAUUUGCAAAGUUAUGAUACUUAUGUUUAUGUUGAUUAUGUUAAAGUUAUUACGCGCUAAUUGGAUACCCGAACUGCUAGCAUACAUACGGACGCAAACUUGUAACUAAGUGGAUCUUGGUGCAACAAAUUAUGAAGUUUCAAGUUUACUAUGAAGACGAUGUCAUCCGUAUUUUGGAGGGUUUGAUCCAUAUAUCCCGUCUUCGAACGGGACAUAGGAUGCAAAACCUCGUUAUUUCAAAAACUUUAUUUUGAACAAGUCUUGUUUGUAAAACUUAUAAACUUAUGUUGUCUUUUGCUACAAAACAACUUUUGACUUGUAUCUUUACAUUAUGGAAUGGAUGAACAUCG